GACAAAUGCCGAUUUCAGCACUCAUCGGCAUCGGACGGCAAUUGUUUAUAAACGAUUGGACAAGGUCAAAAGCUGUUAAUUAAACAGAUGGAUGCCAAUACAUUGAACGGCAGGGGGCAUCGCUAUGAGUUGCCUUUAAUUACGAUCCCCCACAGGCCGUCGGCUGGAGUCCGGCAAUUAUUCAAUCCCGCAUCGCUGGUCCAGCCUAAAUAAUGUUGUAAUUUACAAAAGUCCCAGAGAGAAAUAGAAACGAACGAAAAAUCAACAGAAAAUCAAGAGAAAAUCUCUGUGUUUCCUUCGAUAAAUAUCGACGCGUUUGGGGCGAGAUGUAAAAUAAAUAGUG
Molecule: non-coding RNA, 343 nt
Organism: Drosophila melanogaster (fruit fly)
Lineage: Eukaryota; Metazoa; Arthropoda; Insecta; Diptera; Drosophilidae
Source: Ensembl